Molecule: ribosomal RNA, 404 nt
Filed under: uncultured Candidatus Solibacter sp.
Lineage: Bacteria; Pseudomonadati; Acidobacteriota; Terriglobia; Bryobacterales; Solibacteraceae
Description: bacterial SSU rRNA
Rfam family: Bacterial small subunit ribosomal RNA
Source: RNAcentral
UGGGGAAUCUUGCACAAUGGGGGAAACCCUGAUGCAGCGACGCCGCGUGAGCGAUGAAGCCCUUCGGGGUGUAAAGCUCUUUCGGCAGGAACGAUUAUGACGGUACCUGCGGAAGAAGCUGCGGCUAACUACGUGCCAGCAGCCGCGGUAAUACGUAGGCAGCAAGCGUUGUUCGGAGUUACUGGGCGUAAAGGGUGUGCAGGCGGUGUCCUAAGUUCGGUGUGAAAUCUCCCGGCUCAACUGGGAGGGUGCGCCGAAAACUGGGAUGCUCGAGCGCGGGAGAGGAAAGUGGAAUUCCUGGUGUAGCGGUGAAAUGCGUAGAUAUCAGGAGGAACACCGGUGGUGAAGACGGCUUUCUGGACCGCUGCUGACGCUGAAACACGAAAGCGUGGGGAGCAAACAGG